AACGAACGCUGGCGGCAUGCCUAACACAUGCAAGUCGAACGCGUGUAGCAAUACACGAGUGGCGGACGGGUGAGUAACGCGUGGGAACCUGCCCAAUGGUAGGGAAUAACUGCGGGAAACUGCAGCUAAUACCCUAUGCUCCCUACGGGGGAAAGAUUUAUCGCCAUUGGAGGGGCCCGCGUCGGAUUAGCUAGUUGGCGGGGUAACGGCCCACCAAGGCUACGAUCCGUAGCUGGUCUGAGAGGAUGAUCAGCCACACUGGGACUGAGAUACGGCCCA
This 279-nucleotide ribosomal RNA is filed under the name uncultured bacterium. Its description in RNAcentral is "partial 16S ribosomal RNA". It matches the Rfam family "Bacterial small subunit ribosomal RNA", at positions 29 to 333 of the family's 1533-position model. The record is from RNAcentral.